This 1374-nucleotide long non-coding RNA is filed under the name Monodelphis domestica (gray short-tailed opossum). RNAcentral's name for it is "lncRNA (ENSMODG00000048249.1)". The record is from RNAcentral. Lineage: Eukaryota; Metazoa; Chordata; Mammalia; Didelphimorphia; Didelphidae.
AUGCUUUGCUGGGCUGACACGGUCCCUUCCUGCUUGACCCUGGCCCAGUCACUUCCCUGCUCUGCGUGCCUCAAUUUCUUCUGUAAAGUGGAGAAAAUGACAGCCCGAGGGAUGCUGCAAGACUCCAAAAGCCAGGAUGUUAGUAAAGUGUUCCUUCCUUCCUUCCUUCCCUUCCUUUUUUUCUCCUUUCCCUCCCUCCCUUCUCUCUCUCCCUCCUUCCUUCCUUUCUCCCUCCCUCUCUUCCUUUUUUCCUUCUUUCCCUCCCUCCUUCCUUCCUUCUCUCUCUCCCUCCUUCCUUUCUCCCUCUUCUUCUCUGGCCUCUUCCCUGAUGCCCAUUGACUGGCCCGAGUCUUUUUAGACCUUCAUUUGUCCUUGCCUUCCCCUCAGCUAUUGUCUUAUAUCUCUCUUCCCCAAAGGAUCAUCUCUGCUCCCUGUACCUUCUAUGUCUUUUGCUGUCCUUCCUACUCACUUCUCAACCCCUGUGGUCUGUAUCCUGACUUCCAUGACUCAAGAAAAUCUCCCCUCCCCAAAGUUAUCAGUGAUUUCUUUUUCCCCCAACCCUCACCUUCCGUCUUGGAAUCAGUACUAUGUAUUGGUUUCAAGGCAGAAGAGUCCUAAGGGCUAGGCAGUGGUGGUUAAAUGACUUGCCCAGGGUCACACAGCUAGGACGCAUCCUGCUGUAUGCCAGAUGCCAUGCUCGGUGCUUUUCAGAUAGAUUUGUAACCUCAGACUUAGCCUUGUCCCCUGCUCUUCCUCAGCCCUCUUCUCCAUCCAGUUAUCAUCUUGGUGUUUCUCCCUCCACAGCAUCUCUUGGGCAGUUCACAGGAGCCUCCCUGGCUUUAGGGUUCAGUUCCCUCCCACCUUGGGGGCAAAUAGGCUGACUCAGGCAUACCCAAAUUGCCCAAGGUCACACUGGUACCCAGAUGGGAGUGCACUUGGGCCUGGGGCCGUCUCCGGAUACAGGGAGAAUCUGACAUUUAGAGCAGGAAGAGACCUCUGAUGAGGCCCUGGAAGGUCAGACCUCUUGUUGAAGAUGACCCAGGUCUGAGAUUGAACGCUUUGUCCUCCCCUUCCCAAGGCAGGCCUCUUUCUUGGCCCUCAGGUUUGGUGUCCUUAGAGGAGUAACUCAAAACCUCCGUUCUCUAGCACAAAUGAUAGGCUGUUGGGCAAUCCCAUUGACAUGUAAAGAUCCUGAGACUGGAGCUGCCAUUUUGAUCCCUACAGAUGCUGAAAUGGGUCCAGUGGCCUCGUUGAUUUUCUCUGUAGGGCCAGUGAAGACGAGCAGAGUCAUUCCAGAGUGGGUCGGGGAAUGCCACAUUUCACGGGGCCGGGACUUGUCUAGACCCUGGAGAAAUAAAUACUCAUCUCGUAGCA